This 321-nucleotide ribosomal RNA is filed under the name uncultured eukaryote. RNAcentral's name for it is "partial 18S ribosomal RNA". It matches the Rfam family "Eukaryotic small subunit ribosomal RNA", at positions 1470 to 1796 of the family's 1831-position model. The record is from RNAcentral.
CCCUUAGAUGUCCUGGGCCGCACGCGCGCUACACUGACAUGUUCAACAAGCCUCCUAGUUCGACAGGAUUUGGGAAAUCUUUGAACGCAUGUCGUGAUAGGGAUAGAUCAUUGCAAUUAUUGAUCUUGAACGAGGAAUUCCUAGUAAACGCGAGUCAUCAGCUCGCAUUGAUUACGUCCCUGCCCUUUGUACACACCGCCCGUCGCACCUACCGAUUGAAUGUUUCGGUGAAGAUUCCGGAUAGGACUUUUUUGAUUUAUUUCAAUUCUGCCUUAAAAGCUAUCUAAACCUCAACAUUUAGAGGAAGGUGAAGUCGUAACA